GGCCCCGUAAUUAGCUAAAGGUAUAAGCGUUUGUACAGAACCUUUACCGAAAGACUUUUCACCCAAAAUAACAGCACGCUUAUGGUCUUGCAACGCACCGGCAACAAUCUCGGAAGCCGAGGCCGAUCCGUCAUUAAUCAAAACCACAAUCGGCAAUCCUUUCAAAACAUCGCCUUCUUUGGCAGAGUAUUUCACAUUAUCUUCUUCAUUACGAGAACGCGUUGAAACAAUUUCACCCUUAUCCAAGAACAAAUCCGAGACCCCGAUGGCCUGGUCCAACAGUCCUCCCGGGUUAUUACGUAA
RNAcentral lists this non-coding RNA (303 nucleotides) under bovine gut metagenome. The record is from RNAcentral.